Molecule: ribozyme, 74 nt
Filed under: Crocodylus porosus (Australian saltwater crocodile)
Lineage: Eukaryota; Metazoa; Chordata; Crocodylia; Crocodylidae
Description: Mammalian CPEB3 ribozyme (ENSCPRG00005018873.1)
Rfam family: Mammalian CPEB3 ribozyme
About the family: The mammalian CPEB3 ribozyme is a self cleaving RNA located in the second intron of the CPEB3 gene which belongs to a family of genes regulating messenger RNA polyadenylation. This ribozyme is highly conserved and found only in mammals.
Source: Rfam by way of RNAcentral
ACAGUGCAAAAGGCCAUAGCAGAAGCGCUCAUGUCAUGGUCCUGUCAGAUUUUAACAAAUCCACAAAUUCUGCU